RNAcentral lists this ribosomal RNA (439 nucleotides) under uncultured bacterium. RNAcentral describes it as "partial 16S ribosomal RNA". It matches the Rfam family "Bacterial small subunit ribosomal RNA", at positions 338 to 795 of the family's 1533-position model. The record is from RNAcentral.
CCUACGGGUGGCUGCAGUGGGGAAUAUUGCACAAUGGGCGAAAGCCUGAUGCAGCAACGCCGCGUGAGCGAUGAAGUCUUUCGGUUCGUAAAGCUCUGUCCUCAAGGAAGAUGAUGACGGUACUUGAGUAGGAAGCCCCGGCUAACUACGUGCCAGCAGCCGCGGUAAUACGUAGGGGGCUAGCGUUAUCCGGAUUUACUGGGCGUAAAGGGGGCGUAGGUGGUUUAUCAAGUCAGAGGUGAAAGGCUACGGCUCAACCGUAGUAAGCCUUUGAAACUGGGGUACGUGAGUGCAGGAGAGGAGAGUGGAAUUCCGAGUGUAGCGGUGAAAUGCGUAGAUAUUAGGAGGAACACCAGUUGCGAAGGCGGCUCUCUGGACAGUAACUGACGCUGAGGCACGAAAGCGUGGGGAGCAAGCAGGAUUAGAUACCCUUGUAGUC